Molecule: long non-coding RNA, 202 nt
Filed under: Elaeis guineensis (African oil palm)
Lineage: Eukaryota; Viridiplantae; Streptophyta; Magnoliopsida; Arecales; Arecaceae
Description: long non-coding RNA (EGUI_LNC048244)
Source: RNAcentral
UCUCGAUGCAUGAAGGAUUCUCUCCUAGCGCAUGACUUUGUGCGCCACAUUUUUUAGGGCAUCUCUUCCUAUCCAUGUAAUUCCAUGCAUAUUCCUUCUUAAGCAUGGUGUUUUGGUCAGCCAUCAGAUGACCUUGUGAAUGGAUAGAGAUGGGAACAAAUCUGAUUUAAUCCAAACCCUAGCCACCCCUUAUCUUUGGCGC